RNAcentral lists this long non-coding RNA (668 nucleotides) under Panax ginseng (ginseng). RNAcentral's name for it is "long non-coding RNA (PGIN_LNC003446)". The record is from RNAcentral. Lineage: Eukaryota; Viridiplantae; Streptophyta; Magnoliopsida; Apiales; Araliaceae.
CAAGUUGUGCUACCAUAUCAAGAUUUAUCUCAUAUAUCUCUCAUCAACGAAGCUUCUGUUGCCAUAUCUCUCUAAAGCGAGCCGUCCCAAGGAAACCUCCGUCCAUUUCAAGUAGUCUCGAAUCAUAAUUUUUUAUCGUUCCGUUCAUAAUUUGCAGAACUUCCUAUCGGCGACAGCGAGAAGUGCAGUGGAAUUGGAAGAUUCAACUUGAAAAAUGUCUUCUGCAUCAUGAAAUAAGAAACGACGGACUAAUCUGUAAAUUACGAGACCACAAAUCAACUCCACCCAUAUACUAUUUUGCUUUGUAAUUUAUAAUAUGUAUCUACUGAUUUUGAUCUAUCUCGGAUCAAUUUCAAAAGUUUCCUGUGAAAUUAUGAACUUGUGUUUGAUUUCUCAGUCUGAUUAUCGAUCAGGGGAAGGAAUGUUGCGGCGUAUGCGAGCUGAGCAACAAAACAAAUUGAAACCGAAACCUCUUUUUUUUUUUUCCAUAGUCGGUUAUUAGAUGUACGUGAGAUAGAUUAGGGUUUAAAUAUUUAUUUAUAUAAUUGAUGAAUUCCCAUAAUUUAAAUAGCCCACACAUAUAAAUGAAACCCAAUUAAAAUAAAGGUCCAAAUUAAUGUAAUCAUUUACUAAUUAUGAUCCACAAUAAUUAAAUAUAAUUUGACCCA